This 450-nucleotide ribosomal RNA is filed under the name uncultured bacterium. RNAcentral's name for it is "partial 16S ribosomal RNA". It matches the Rfam family "Bacterial small subunit ribosomal RNA", at positions 354 to 796 of the family's 1533-position model. The record is from RNAcentral.
GUGGGGAAUAUUCCGCAAUGGACGAAAGUCUGACGGAGCAACGCCGCGUGAGUGAUGAAGGUUUUCGGACUGUAAAGCUCUGUUGUUUAGGACGAAAGUGCCUGUUGCAAACAGUUACAGGUAUUGACGGUACUAAACGAGGAAGCCACGGCUAACUACGUGCCAGCAGCCGCGGUAAUACGUAGGUGGCAAGCGUUGUCCGGAAUUAUUGGGCGUAAAGAGCAUGUAGGCGGGAAUCUAAGUCUGUUGUGAAAAUGCGGGGCUCAACCCGGUAUUGAGAUGGAAACUGGGUGUCUUGAGUGCAGGAGGGGAAAGGGGAAUUCCCAGUGUAGCGGUGAAAUGCGUAGAUAUUGGGAGGAACACCGGUGGCGAAGGCGCCUUGCUGGACUGUGUCUGACGCUGAGAUGCGAAAGCCAGGGUAGCGAACGGGAUUAGAAACCCCAGUAGUCC